CGGCAAGCUACUGCAAGGGCAGGCCGACGAACGCUGACGACGGUCGAUUGCGGGGCGGCGCGCCCGGCCGCCGUUCGAUUCGCUGGUCCGCUUC
This 94-nucleotide transfer RNA is filed under the name Burkholderia pseudomallei. RNAcentral's name for it is "tRNA-Val(gac)". The record is from RNAcentral. Lineage: Bacteria; Pseudomonadati; Pseudomonadota; Betaproteobacteria; Burkholderiales; Burkholderiaceae.